Molecule: ribosomal RNA, 480 nt
Filed under: Babesia crassa
Lineage: Eukaryota; Apicomplexa; Aconoidasida; Piroplasmida; Babesiidae
Description: SSU rRNA
Rfam family: Eukaryotic small subunit ribosomal RNA
Source: RNAcentral
UGUCUUGUAAUUGGAAUGAUGGCGACGUAAAAGCUCGCCAGAGUACCAAUUGGAGGGCAAGUCUGGUGCCAGCAGCCGCGGUAAUUCCAGCUCCAAUAGCGUAUAUUAAACUUGUUGCAGUUAAAAAGCUCGUAGUUGAACUUCAGCCUGUUCGAUAAGUGCCUUUGCGGCGUCUGAUCGAGUUGGCUUAUCUUUUUACUUUGAGAAAAUUAGAGUGUUUCAAGCAGACUUUUGUCUUGAAUACUUCAGCAUGGAAUAAUAGAGUAGGACCUUGGUUCUAUUUUGUUGGUUUCUGAACCUGGGUAAUGGUUAAUAGGAACGGUUGGGGGCAUUCGUAUUUAACUGUCAGAGGUGAAAUUCUUAGAUUUGUUAAAGACGAACUACUGCGAAAGCAUUUGCCAAGGACGUUUUCAUUAAUCAAGAACGAAAGUUAGGGGAUCGAAGACGAUCAGAUACCGUCGUAGUCCUAACCAUAAACUA